UAGAUCCAGCCAUGCCGCGUGAGUGAUGAAGGCCCUAGGGUUGUAAAGCUCUUUUGUGCGGGAAGAUAAUGACGGUACCGCAAGAAUAAGCCCCGGCUAACUUCGUGCGUGCAGCCGCGGUAAUACGAAGGGGGCUAGCGUUGCUCGGUGUUACUGGGCGUAAAGGGUGCGUAUGCGGGUCUUUAAGUCAGGGGUGAAAUCCUGGAGCUCAACUCCAGAACUGCCCCGGAUACUGAGGAUCUUGAGUUCGGGAGAGGUGAGUGGAACUGCGAGUGUAGAGGUGAAAUUCGUAGAUAUUCGCAAGGUCACCAGUGGCGAAGGCGGCUCACUGGCCCGAUACUGACGCUGAGGCACGAAAGCGUGGGGAGCAAACAGGAGGAGAUACCCUGGUAGUCCACGCCGUAAACGAUGAAUGCCAGCCGUUAGUGGGUUUACUCACUAGUGGCGCAGCUAACGCUUUAAGCAUUCCGCCUGGGGAGUACGGUAUCAAGAUUAAAA
Molecule: ribosomal RNA, 498 nt
Filed under: Nitrobacter sp. enrichment culture isolate DGGE gel band EN1
Lineage: Bacteria; Pseudomonadati; Pseudomonadota; Alphaproteobacteria; Hyphomicrobiales; Nitrobacteraceae
Description: bacterial SSU rRNA
Rfam family: Bacterial small subunit ribosomal RNA
Source: RNAcentral